UAAACGUUGGGUGCUAGGUGUGGGUGGACAUCGACCCCAUCCGUGCCGAAGCUAACGCAUUAAGCACCCCGCCUGGGGAGUACGGCCGCAAGGCUAAAACUCCAAAGGAAUUGACGGGGGCCCGCACAAGCGGCGGAGCAUGCGGCUUAAUUCGAUGCGACGCGAAGAACCUUACCUGGGCUUGACAUGCAGGGCAAAGCCGGUGAAAGCCGGCGCUCUACGGAGCCUGCACAGGUGGUGCAUGGCUGUCGUCAGCUCGUGCCGUGAGGUGUUGCCUUAAGUGGCGCAACGAGCGCAACCCUUGUCCUUAGUUGCCAGCGGGUAAAGCCGGGAACUCUAGGGAGACUGCCGGUGCCAAACCGGAGGAAGGUGGGGAUGACGUCAAGUCAUCAUGCCCCUUAUGUCCAGGGCUGCACGCAUGCUACAAUGCGCGGUACAAAGGGCUGCGAUCCCGUAAGGGGGAGCGAAUCCCAAAAAGCCGCGCUCAGUUCGGAUCGGGGUCUGCAACCCGACCCCGUGAA
This 521-nucleotide ribosomal RNA is filed under the name uncultured Actinomycetes bacterium. RNAcentral describes it as "bacterial SSU rRNA". It matches the Rfam family "Bacterial small subunit ribosomal RNA", at positions 803 to 1324 of the family's 1533-position model. Lineage: Bacteria; Bacillati; Actinomycetota; Actinomycetes. The record is from RNAcentral.